Molecule: ribosomal RNA, 712 nt
Filed under: Candidatus Kuenenia stuttgartensis
Lineage: Bacteria; Pseudomonadati; Planctomycetota; Candidatus Brocadiia; Candidatus Brocadiales; Candidatus Brocadiaceae
Description: bacterial SSU rRNA
Rfam family: Bacterial small subunit ribosomal RNA
Source: RNAcentral
UUUCGCAAUGCCCGAAAGGGGUGCUAAUACUCAAUGCCGUCCCGGGCCUGAGGGUUCGGGAUGAAAGGAGGCCUCUGAUUCAAGCUUCCGCUCGGGGAGAGGUUUAUGUCCUAUUAGCUAGUUGGUGAGGUAACGGCUCACCAAGGCUUCGAUGGGUAGCCGACCUGAGAGGGUGACCGGCCACACUGGGACUGAGACACUGCCCGGACUCCUACGGGAGGCUGCAGUCGAGAAUCUUCCGCAAUGCGCGCAAGCGUGACGGAGCGACGCCGCGUGGGCGAUGAAGGCCUUCGGGUUGUAAAGCCCUGUUAGCUGCCAUGAAUGGCGGGUGGUGAACAGCUAUCCCGCUUGACGUAAGCAGCAGAGGAAGCACCGGCUAACUACGUGCCAGCAGCCGCGGUAAUACGUAGGGUGCAAACGUUGUUCGGAAUCACUGGGCAUAAAGGGCGCGUAGGCGGUCUGGUCAGUCAAGUGUGAAAUCCCCCGGCUCAACCGGGGAACUGCACUUGAUACUGCCGGGCUUGAGUGCAGGAGGGGAGAGUGGAAUUCCUGGUGGAGCGGUGAAAUGCGUAGAUAUCAGGAGGAACGCCGGUGGCGAAAGCGACUCUCUGGCCUGCAACUGACGCUGAGGCGCGAAAGCUAGGGGAGCAAACGGGAUUAGAUACCCCGGUAGUCCUAGCCCUAAACGAUGGGCACUAAGUAGAGGGGUUUU